This 301-nucleotide ribosomal RNA is filed under the name uncultured bacterium. RNAcentral's name for it is "partial 16S ribosomal RNA". It matches the Rfam family "Bacterial small subunit ribosomal RNA", at positions 509 to 807 of the family's 1533-position model. The record is from RNAcentral.
CAGUCGCCACGGUAAUACGUAGGGCGCAAGCGUUAUCCGGAAUUAUUGGGCGUAAAGAGCUCGUAGGCGGUUUGUCGCGUCUGCCGUGAAAGUCCGGGGCUCAACCCCGGAUCUGCGGUGGGUACGGGCAGACUAGAGUGAUGUAGGGGAGACUGGAAUUCCUGGUGUAGCGGUGAAAUGCGCAGAUAUCAGGAGGAACACCGAUGGCGAAGGCAGGUCUCUGGGCAUUAACUGACGCUGAGGAGCGAAAGCAUGGGGAGCGAACAGGAUUAGAUACCCCGGUAGUCCCUGUCUCUUAUAC